This 440-nucleotide ribosomal RNA is filed under the name uncultured bacterium. RNAcentral's name for it is "partial 16S ribosomal RNA". It matches the Rfam family "Bacterial small subunit ribosomal RNA", at positions 338 to 795 of the family's 1533-position model. The record is from RNAcentral.
CCUACGGGUGGCAGCAGUGGGGAAUAUUGCACAAUGGGGGAAACCCUGAUGCAGCGACGCCGCGUGAGUGAAGAAGUAAUUCGUUCUGUAAAGCUCUAUCAGCAGGGAAGAAAAUGACUGUACCUGAGUAAGAAUCCCCGGCUAACUACGUUCCAGGAGCCGCGGUAAUACGUAGUGGGCAAGCGUUAUCCGGAUUUACUGGGUGUAAAGUGAGCGUAGACGGCAGUGCAAGUCUGGAGUGAAAGGCGGGGGCUCAACCCGCGGACUGCUAUGGAAACUGUACGGCUGGAGUACAGGAGAGGUAAGUGGAAUUCCUGGUGUAGCGGUGAAAUGCGUAGAUAUUAGGAGGAACACCAGUGGCGAAGGCGGCUUACUGGACUGUAACUGACGUUGAGGCUCGAAAGCGUGGGGAGCAAACAGGAUUAGAUACCCGGGUAGUC